AUUUGGUGCUGCAAGUGUUAACAACACUACAAAAUUUUUUGCUGCUAGUUUUAAAUAAAUAAAACUAGCAGCUGCGGUAUUUUGUUUAAUUUUUCGUUACACACAACAAAAUGUUGAACUUGAAUUUAACAACGGAUCGCACUGGACAGGCGACUGCUGAGCCAGCCAGCGAUUUACCUUUAACUGCUUUACUCUGUUGGGCCACAAUUUUAUAACUUAUAAUUUGUUUGAGAAAUGGGGUUGACGAUGAAAGUAAUAAAUAAAUAAAACUAUAUGCUGCUUUAAUUAGGUAACA
Long non-coding RNA from Drosophila busckii, 295 nucleotides. RefSeq lists it as uncharacterized. The record is from RefSeq and is a predicted model, not a curated record. The transcript is spliced from 2 exons. NCBI's taxonomy places the organism in Eukaryota, Metazoa, Arthropoda, Insecta, Diptera, Drosophilidae.